RNAcentral lists this long non-coding RNA (192 nucleotides) under Rhipicephalus microplus (southern cattle tick). Its description in RNAcentral is "uncharacterized LOC119186775, transcript variant X1". The record is from RNAcentral. Lineage: Eukaryota; Metazoa; Arthropoda; Arachnida; Ixodida; Ixodidae.
GAGACGCUUAUUCGCGUUCAUCUGCACAUUACCUCUUGAAGGAGACCCGACCUUUGCUACGGAGAAUGUCACCGUUGUGCGAGGUAGGUGUCUGUUUAACGGCAGAGAGAUCGUCGAUAGACACACGAUGAAAAUGAGCAUUCCCUGUGUUGAAGCAACAUGCUGGGCUCCUUCAAAGUUGGUGCUACUUAA